RNAcentral lists this transfer RNA (68 nucleotides) under Drilus flavescens. Its description in RNAcentral is "tRNA-Trp". Lineage: Eukaryota; Metazoa; Arthropoda; Insecta; Coleoptera; Elateridae. The record is from RNAcentral.
AAGGAUUUAAGUUAAAGAAACUAGUAACCUUCAAAGUUAUCAAUAAAGACUUAUUCCUUUAAGCCUUA